UCAUAGAGAAGGCAUGGUGAAGAGCAACAGACAGACAGUAGCUGAGAUCAAGGAGCAAGACAGAAACUGGAAAAGCUCAACAACUCUGGAACUCCCUUCCCAGGGAGGUUAGACUGGCUUCUUCCUUGCUGUCCUUCCAUCCCCAGAUACGGUUCCUGAAAGGAGGCAUGAAGUAAAUACACUGAAAAAUGUAAGCAGGAAGAUGGCUGUGACUAGGGAACGUGCCAUGACCACUUUUUUCCCUCUCAUGUGCAGCGCGCAUUUGGCAAGCAAAAGUUUGAAUUCUAUGGAAUUACACCUGCUACAACAGGCAGAAAAAUCAUUAAGUGGCCCACCAAGAUCCUCAGCAAUUUUCAAGUAGUCCAUGAGGAGAAAAGGUUUUAUGAAAGAUGCCAGUGGGCCAUCUCUGUCUUUGUAUGCGUUGGAUGUGUCAUGACCCAUCUCUCAAAACUCUCCCUCCCCCAAUAAAUUUGCUCAUGCCAGUGCCUGUUUGUGUAUUACAGUAGACAUCUCUGUAUACAUUACUGCUGCCUGGAGCUAAGAUUCUGGCAGAGCAAUCGAACCCCCAAAACCACCACCAUGUUGUGCUAGUGGUGAUGAUGGAAUGAGGGCAGAUAUCCCUCCGCUCAGCUCUUCCAGCUAAACUGGCCUCCUGCCAGCCACCUAAUGGGCAGCAGACUUGAUGAAGAACCACUUUAUACUCAGCCCAACCCAAUGGUCCAUGAAUAUUUGUGCUGUCCAUUUUAACAAACCAAGUUCGCCAUAACCUUCUGAAGAUGUCUUCCCAUCCCGAUAUCUGCAGUUCCAGAACUGGAGAUGCUAUUGGCCAAAUCCAAUGCUUCAACCAUGCCAAAAAUGAAUUCCACUGACCUUGGUUUCAGCUCUUUUCUCCCAAUUUUUAUUUUUAAAAAUCAUUUUACUCUUUACAGAAUUCUGUAAACUGGAUCAGCUUAAGACCAAGGGCUGAAUCCAGAGUUGCAGCUUCACUCAUGCAACAGACUUCCAUGCACAAAUUGAACUUCCUUUCGCUUUCUUGUCCCCUACAGGCCCCCAUGCCCUUAAAAUCAGCUCUGGAGGCUUGGAGGACCCACUAGAGCAGAUUUGGGGGGCAUGCAGAGGGAGGAGAGGAAAUGGAAGUCCUGUGGCAUGAGAGGAACUCUGCUCAUGCAGUGUGGGAUACGACCUCAAAGGUCUGAUGUGUGAAAGUGUGGUAGAUGUGUUAUUCAAGGGAAAGCCUUCCAUCACUUUUACAUGUAAUGUUUUGGCUUGUUAUGAUGAAACAACUCUCAUUCUUCUAAAGAAUAAAUAAAAAUGGCCCCUUUCAAAGCAAGAUGUUCUUAAUUUUUGCAUUUGACUUGGACAAUAUUUUUCCGUAUUGGAAAAAGAAAU
Rhineura floridana is the source of this 1389-nucleotide long non-coding RNA. RefSeq lists it as uncharacterized. Lineage: Eukaryota; Metazoa; Chordata; Lepidosauria; Squamata; Rhineuridae. The transcript is spliced from 7 exons. The record is from RefSeq and is a predicted model, not a curated record.